Molecule: ribosomal RNA, 431 nt
Filed under: uncultured bacterium
Lineage: Bacteria
Description: partial 16S ribosomal RNA
Rfam family: Bacterial small subunit ribosomal RNA
Source: RNAcentral
AACGAACGCUGGCGGCAGGCCUAACACAUGCAAGUCGAGCGCCCUUUCGGGGGAGCGGCGGACGGGUGAGUAACGCGUGGGAAUAUGCCCUUCUCUACGGAAUAGCCUCGGGAAACUGAGAGUAAUACCGUAGACGCCCUAUGGGGGAAAGAUUUAUCGGGGAAGGAUUAGCCCGCGUUGGAUUAGGUAGUUGGUGGGGUAAUGGCCUACCAAGCCGACGAGCCAUAGAUGGUGUGAGAGGAUGAUCAGCCACACUGGGACUGAGACACGGCCCAGACUCCUACGGGAGGCAGCAGUGGGGAAUCUUAGACAAUGGGGGGAACCCUGAUCUAGCCAUGCCGCGUGAGUGAUGAAGGCCUUAGAGUUGUAAAGCUCUUUCAGCUGGGAAGAUAAUGACGGUACCAGCAGAAGAAGCCCCGGCUAACUCCGUG